AUUGAACGCUGGCGGCGUGCUUAACACAUGCAAGUCGAUCGGUAACAGGUGUAGCAAUACAUGCUGACGAGAGGCGGACGGGUGAGUAAUGCUUGGGAAUCUGCCUAUUAGUGGGGGACAACCCGGGGAAACUCGGGCUAAUACCGCAUACGCUCUACGGAGGAAAGCCGGGGACCGCAAGGCCUGGCGCUAAUAGAUGAGCCCAAGUCGGAUUAGCUAGUUGGUAGGGAACGGCCUACCAAGGCGACAAUCCGUAGCUGGUCUGAGAGGACGACCAGCCACACCGGAACUGAGACACGGUCCGGACUCCUACGGGAGGCAGCAGUGGGGAAUAUUGGACAAUGGGGGCAACCCUGAUCCAGCGACGCCGCGUGGGUGAAGAAGGCCUGCGGGUUGUAAAGCCCUUUCGGUGGGGAGGAAAAGUCUCGACCUAAUACGUCGGGACCUUGACGUAACCCACUAAAGAAGCACCGGCUAACUCUGUGCCAGCCGCCGCA
RNAcentral lists this ribosomal RNA (497 nucleotides) under uncultured bacterium. Its description in RNAcentral is "bacterial SSU rRNA". It matches the Rfam family "Bacterial small subunit ribosomal RNA", at positions 29 to 519 of the family's 1533-position model. The record is from RNAcentral.